CAGCCGCCACGGUAAUACAGAGGGUGCGAGCGUUAAUCGGAUUUACUGGGCGUAAAGCGUGCGUAGGCGGCUUUUUAAGUCGGAUGUGAAAUCCCUGAGCUUAACUUAGGAAUUGCAUUCGAUACUGGGAAGCUAGAGUAUGGGAGAGGAUGGUAGAAUUCCAGGUGUAGCGGUGAAAUGCGUAGAGAUCUGGAGGAAUACCGAUGGCGAAGGCAGCCAUCUGGCCUAAUACUGACGCUGAGGUACGAAAGCAUGGGGAGCAAACAGGAUUAGAGACCCCGGUAGUCCCUGUCUCUUAUAC
Molecule: ribosomal RNA, 301 nt
Filed under: uncultured bacterium
Lineage: Bacteria
Description: partial 16S ribosomal RNA
Rfam family: Bacterial small subunit ribosomal RNA
Source: RNAcentral